UUAUCUCUGAGCGAUACUCUGUAUCUCCUUUAAGGAUAAGAUCUUCCUUAGAGUGGUUAC
RNAcentral lists this transfer RNA (60 nucleotides) under Armadillidium vulgare (common pillbug). Its description in RNAcentral is "tRNA-Lys". Lineage: Eukaryota; Metazoa; Arthropoda; Malacostraca; Isopoda; Armadillidiidae. The record is from RNAcentral.